This 305-nucleotide ribosomal RNA is filed under the name uncultured bacterium. Its description in RNAcentral is "bacterial SSU rRNA". It matches the Rfam family "Bacterial small subunit ribosomal RNA", at positions 335 to 657 of the family's 1533-position model. The record is from RNAcentral.
GCCCUACGGGGCGCAGCAGUGGGGGAUAUUGCACAAUGGGGGAAACCCUGAUGCAGCGACGCCGCGUGGGCGAAGAAGUAUUUCGGUAUGUAAAGCCCUAUCAGCGGGGAAGAAGAAAUGACGGUACCUGAGUAAGAAGCACCGGCUAAAUACGUGCCAGCAGCCGCGGUAAUACGUAUGGUGCAAGCGUUAUCCGGAUUUACUGGGUGUAAAGGGUGCGUAGGCGGGCUGCCAAGUCAGCGGUAAAAUUGCGGGGCUCAACCCCGUCGAGCCGUUGAAACUGGCGGUCUUGAGUGGGCGAGAAG